This 765-nucleotide ribosomal RNA is filed under the name uncultured Streptococcus sp. RNAcentral's name for it is "bacterial SSU rRNA". It matches the Rfam family "Bacterial small subunit ribosomal RNA", at positions 28 to 776 of the family's 1533-position model. The record is from RNAcentral. Lineage: Bacteria; Bacillati; Bacillota; Bacilli; Lactobacillales; Streptococcaceae.
GACGAACGCUGGCGGCGUGCCUAAUACAUGCAAGUAGAACGCUGAAGCUUGGUGCUUGCACCGAGCGGAAGAGUUGCGAACGGGUGAGUAACGCGUAGGUAACCUGCCUGGUAGCGGGGGAUAACUAUUGGAAACGAUAGCUAAUACCGCAUGAUAUUGAUUAUUGCAUGAUAGUCAAUUAAAAGGUGCAAUUGCAUCACUACCAGAUGGACCUGCGUUGUAUUAGCUAGUUGGUGAGGUAACGGCUCACCAAGGCAACGAUACAUAGCCGACCUGAGAGGGUGAUCGGCCACACUGGGACUGAGACACGGCCCAGACUCCUACGGGAGGCAGCAGUAGGGAAUCUUCGGCAAUGGACGGAAGUCUGACCGAGCAACGCCGCGUGAGUGAAGAAGGUUUUCGGAUCGUAAAGCUCUGUUGUAAGAGAAGAACGAGUGUGAGAGUGGAAAGUUCACACUGUGACGGUAUCUUACCAGAAAGGGACGGCUAACUACGUGCCAGCAGCCGCGGUAAUACGUAGGUCCCGAGCGUUGUCCGGAUUUAUUGGGCGUAAAGCGAGCGCAGGCGGUUAGAUAAGUCUGAAGUUAAAGGCUGUGGCUUAACCAUAGUACGCUUUGGAAACUGUUUAACUUGAGUGCAAGAGGGGAGAGUGGAAUUCCAUGUGUAGCGGUGAAAUGCGUAGAUAUAUGGAGGAACACCGGUGGCGAAAGCGGCUCUCUGGCUUGUAACUGACGCUGAGGCUCGAAAGCGUGGGGAGCAAACAGG